Molecule: RNA transcript, 2149 nt
Organism: Anguilla anguilla (European eel)
Lineage: Eukaryota; Metazoa; Chordata; Actinopteri; Anguilliformes; Anguillidae
Gene: ccdc181
Gene name: coiled-coil domain containing 181
Exons: 6
Source: RefSeq, a predicted model, not a curated record
UAUCACCUGUUGUUUAUCUCCAUGGCGACAGCAGAAAAAAACCUACCGACUGUCGGGUGUACGAGUCUCGGACAGAUUAUACCUAUGUCUUGAUCGUAAUCUACAUUUGCCUAGUUGCUUUCUUAUAUACGGCAAUUUGAGCAUGAUAAAUGUAACCUUCGGCAAAUAGGCAACAUUGCUGUCUGAUUAAAAAGCUUGGAGGCGAAAAACCAGAGCUCUCGACCCGGGUGGGAGGAUGAGUGGGCCGUCCGAGCAGAAGGUCAAAGGUGAAGGUCGAGAGCAGUACGAGGACGACUUUGAGAAAGAUCUGGAUUGGCUCAUCAGCGAGGAAGAGAGGAGUGACGGACAGCAGGACCCUGAGGAUGAGGAUGUCGAAGCCCAGAUUGAUAAAGAGCUGGAGGAGGAAGAGAGAUGGCCAUCACCCCUCGACACCGCGGCCGAGUCGGACAGAGACAGUGCUUUCGAUUCCCUCCCGCUGGCCCCGCCCCCUUCCACACCCCCGCCCCCUCCGGCUGAGCCCCUCCCCCUCCCCCUGGCAGAGGGGGAGGAGUCAGAGGAGGAGAAGCAGUACAUCCUGGAGAAGAUCCAGCAGGCCAACCAGGAGCUGAAGGCCCAGGCCGCCCCCGACCACAGCCGCCGACGCCGGCUGCAGUUCAAGGACUCGCUGGUGGACCUGGUGGUGCCGCCAGUGGAGUACGAGCAGGACAGCGCCCCCCAGGGGAGCAGCGAGGAGCAGCAGGAGGAGCAGGAGGAGGAGCGGGAGGAGGAGCAGGAGGUUGCUGGGAAGAUGUCAGUGCUGCAGAUCUCCCAGCAGGAGGAGGAGGGCGGGGAGGAGGAGAAGGAGGAGGAGGAGGAGGGAGGGGACUGGGCCGGCAGGCAGGGUCGGGUUCUGGUGGAGAAAGACGGGAAGUUUGACUUGGUGAGCCUGAGGGAGGUGGAGAGCCGGGGGCUGCUCCCGCCCCUGCCCUGUUCCUAUGGCGACGCCCCGCACUCCCCCCGCGGCCGAGGCUCCGCCUCCUCACCCAGACACGGCGCGGGCGUUCCCCUGACGACCGGGCCGGCGUACGCCCCAAAGCCCCCGCCCCCCGUCCGGAACCGGCCGAACUCGGCGGGCCGCGGCCAGCGCGGGGCAGGGAGGGGGUCCAAACGCAGGGUGCAGUCGGCCGGCAGCCCGUCCGCACACGCCACCUUCACCCUCUCACCUGAGCAGAAACACCUGCAGCUCAAACAGCAGCAGAGGAGAGAGAGGCUGUGCAGGGAGGAGGAGGAGCGGCGGCGCGAGGAGGAGGCGCAGAAGCGGCAGGAGAACGAGCUGGCCUUCCGGGCCUGGAUGCAGAGGAAGAGGGAGCAGCUGCAGGCGGAGCGGCGGGUGCUCCGGGCACAGGAGAUGGAGAAGACAAACGGCCAGAGGGAGAUGUGUGACCCUGAGGAGGCCUUUAAAUUCUGGCUGAAGAGCAAACAGCAGCAACAGAAGCAGGAGAAACGGCUGGAGGAACUGAAACGACUGGAGGAGGAGAGAUGCUACUACCUGCACAGUCAAGAGGAAUCAGAGCAAGCCUUCAGGCUGUGAGUACAGAGAGGAAUCAGAGCAAGCCUUCAAACUGUGAGUACAGAGAGGAAUCAGAGCAAGCCUUCAGGCUGUGAGUACAGAGAGGCAUCAGAGCAAGCCUCCAGGCUGAAUACAGGGAGGAAUCAGAGCAAGCCUUCAAACUGAGUACAGAGAGGAAUCAGAGCGAGCCUUCAGGCUGUGAGUACAGAGAGGAAUCAGAGCGAGCCUUCAGGCUGUGAGUACAGAGAGGAAUCAGAGCUAGCCUUCAGACUGAGUACAGAGAGGAAUCAGAGCAAGCCUUCAGGCUGUGAGUACAGAGAGGAAUCAGAGCUAGCCUUCAGGCUGUGAGUACAGAGAGGAAUCAGAGCUAGCCUUCAGACUGUGAGUACAGAGAGGAAUCAGAGCAAGCCUUCAGACUGUGAGUACAGAGAGGCAUCAGAGCGAGCCUUCAGACUGUGAGUACAGAGAGGAAUCAGAGCUAGCCUUCAGACUGUGAGUACAGAGAGGAAUCAGAGCAAGCCUUCAGACUGUGGCUGAAGCGGAAGCAUGCAGAGAAGCGGUUGGAGACGCGUGUGGCUCGUGAGCGCUCCCGCAGGCUGG